This 129-nucleotide microRNA precursor is filed under the name Mustela putorius furo (domestic ferret). RNAcentral describes it as "miRNA (ENSMPUG00000022739.1)". The record is from RNAcentral. Lineage: Eukaryota; Metazoa; Chordata; Mammalia; Carnivora; Mustelidae.
CAAAUACAUAGAGUUUCAGGUAAACCAUGAAUGAUUUUUAGUGUAAGUACGUCUCAUACAAUAUUUGGGGCAUGCUUAUGCUAAACUAUUACUCAUGGUUUAUCAAAAUCCAAUUUAAUUGGACUUCCU